Orcinus orca (killer whale) is the source of this 274-nucleotide long non-coding RNA. RefSeq lists it as uncharacterized. NCBI's taxonomy places the organism in Eukaryota, Metazoa, Chordata, Mammalia, Artiodactyla, Delphinidae. The record is from RefSeq and is a predicted model, not a curated record. The transcript has 2 exons.
GUAGUUCCGCUUCCCCCUGGGUGGGGCAGUAAGCGCCAAUAAAUAGGUCCUCUGCUGCACGACAGCUAUCCUCCUGCCACUCGAGUUCUGAUUGACUUUGGAGAACCUGAUAUUAAGACUCCAGAAAGAUGUCUUCUCAACAUCAGCAGUGCAAGCAGCCCUGCCAGCCACCACCAGUGUGCACACCAAAAUGCCAUGACCCUUGCCCACCUUGCAAGUGUCCAGACCCUUGCCCACCUUGCAAGUGUCCAGACCCUUGCCCACCUAUAAAGUG